UAAGUUAUUAAGGGCGCACGGUGGAUGCCUUGGCACUAGAAGCCGAUGAAGGACGUUACUAACGACGAUAUGCUUUGGGGAGCUGUAAGUAAGCUUUGAUCCAGAGAUUUCCGAAUGGGGAAACCCAGCAUGAGUUAUGUCAUGUUAUCGAUAUGUGAAUACAUAGCAUAUCAGAAGGCACACCCGGAGAACUGAAACAUCUUAGUACCCGGAGGAAGAGAAAGAAAAUUCGAUUCCCUUAGUAGCGGCGAGCGAAACGGGAAGAGCCCAAACCAACAAGCUUGCUUGUUGGGGUUGUAGGACACUCUAUACGGAGUUACAAAGGACGACAUUAGACGAAUCAUCUGGAAAGAUGAAUCAAAGAAGGUAAUAAUCCUGUAGUCGAAAAUGUUGUCUCUCUUGAGUGGAUCCUGAGUACGACGGAGCACGUGAAAUUCCGUCGGAAUCUGGGAGGACCAUCUCCUAAGGCUAAAUACUCUCUAGUGACCGAUAGUGAACCAGUACCGUGAGGGAAAGGUGAAAAGCACCCCGGAAGGGGAGUGAAAUAGAACCUGAAACCGUGUGCUUACAAGUAGUCAGAGCCCGUUAAUGGGUGAUGGCGUGCCUUUUGUAGAAUGAACCGGCGAGUUACGAUUUGAUGCAAGGUUAAGCAGUAAAUGUGGAGCCGUAGCGAAAGCGAGUCUGAAUAGGGCGUUUAGUAUUUGGUCGUAGACCCGAAACCAGGUGAUCUACCCUUGGUCAGGUUGAAGUUCAGGUAACACUGAAUGGAGGACCGAACCGACUUACGUUGAAAAGUGAGCGGAUGAACUGAGGGUAGCGGAGAAAUUCCAAUCGAACCUGGAGAUAGCUGGUUCUCUCCGAAAUAGCUUUAGGGCUAGCCUCAAGUGAUGAUUAUUGGAGGUAGAGCACUGUUUGGACGAGGGGCCCUCUCGGGUUACCGAAUUCAGACAAACUCCGAAUGCCAAUUAAUUUAACUUGGGAGUCAGAACAUGGGUGAUAAGGUCCGUGUUCGAAAGGGAAACAGCCCAGACCACCAGCUAAGGUCCCAAAAUAUAUGUUAAGUGGAAAAGGAUGUGGCGUUGCCCAGACAACUAGGAUGUUGGCUUAGAAGCAGCCAUCAUUUAAAGAGUGCGUAAUAGCUCACUAGUCGAGUGACACUGCGCCGAAAAUGUACCGGGGCUAAACAUAUUACCGAAGCUGUGGAUUGUCCUUUGGACAAUGGUAGGAGAGCGUUCUAAGGGCGUUGAAGCAUGAUCGUAAGGACAUGUGGAGCGCUUAGAAGUGAGAAUGCCGGUGUGAGUAGCGAAAGACGGGUGAGAAUCCCGUCCACCGAUUGACUAAGGUUUCCAGAGGAAGGCUCGUCCGCUCUGGGUUAGUCGGGUCCUAAGCUGAGGCCGACAGGCGUAGGCGAUGGAUAACAGGUUGAUAUUCCUGUACCACCUAUAAUCGUUUUAAUCGAUGGGGGACGCAGUAGAAUAGGCGAAGCGUGCGAUUGGAUUGCACGUCUAAGCAGUAAGGCUGAGUAUUAGGCAAAUCCGGUACUCGUUAAGGCUGAGCUGUGAUGGGGAGAAGACAUUGUGUCUUCGAGUCGUUGAUUUCACACUGCCGAGAAAAGCCUCUAGAUAGAAAAUAGGUGCCCGUACCGCAAACCGACACAGGUAGUCAAGAUGAGAAUUCUAAGGUGAGCGAGCGAACUCUCGUUAAGGAACUCGGCAAAAUGACCCCGUAACUUCGGGAGAAGGGGUGCUCUUUAGGGUUAACGCCCAGAAGAGCCGCAGUGAAUAGGCCCAAGCGACUGUUUAUCAAAACACAGGUCUCUGCUAAACCGUAAGGUGAUGUAUAGGGGCUGACGCCUGCCCGGUGCUGGAAGGUUAAGAGGAGUGGUUAGCUUCUGCGAAGCUACGAAUCGAAGCCCCAGUAAACGGCGGCCGUAACUAUAACGGUCCUAAGGUAGCGAAAUUCCUUGUCGGGUAAGUUCCGACCCGCACGAAAGGCGUAACGAUUUGGGCACUGUCUCAACGAGAGACUCGGUGAAAUCAUAGUACCUGUGAAGAUGCAGGUUACCCGCGACAGGACGGAAAGACCCCGUGGAGCUUUACUGUAGCCUGAUAUUGAAAUUCGGCACAGCUUGUACAGGAUAGGUAGGAGCCUUUGAAACGUGAGCGCUAGCUUACGUGGAGGCGCUGGUGGGAUACUACCCUAGCUGUGUUGGCUUUCUAACCCGCACCACUUAUCGUGGUGGGAGACAGUGUCAGGCGGGCAGUUUGACUGGGGCGGUCGCCUCCUAAAAGGUAACGGAGGCGCUCAAAGGUUCCCUCAGAAUGGUUGGAAAUCAUUCAUAGAGUGUAAAGGCAUAAGGGAGCUUGACUGCGAGACCUACAAGUCGAGCAGGGUCGAAAGACGGACUUAGUGAUCCGGUGGUUCCGCAUGGAAGGGCCAUCGCUCAACGGAUAAAAGCUACCCCGGGGAUAACAGGCUUAUCUCCCCCAAGAGUUCACAUCGACGGGGAGGUUUGGCACCUCGAUGUCGGCUCAUCGCAUCCUGGGGCUGUAGUCGGUCCCAAGGGUUGGGCUGUUCGCCCAUUAAAGCGGUACGCGAGCUGGGUUCAGAACGUCGUGAGACAGUUCGGUCCCUAUCCGUCGUGGGCGUAGGAAAUUUGAGAGGAGCUGUCCUUAGUACGAGAGGACCGGGAUGGACAUACCUCUGGUGUACCAGUUGUCGUGCCAACGGCAUAGCUGGGUAGCUAUGUGUGGACGGGAUAAGUGCUGAAAGCAUCUAAGCAUGAAGCCCCCUCAAGAUGAGAUUUCCCAACUUCGGUUAUAAGAUCCCUCAAAGAUGAUGAGGUUAAUAGGUUCGAGGUGGAAGCAUGGUGACAUGUGGAGCUGACGAAUACUAAUCGAUCGAAGACUUAAUCA
RNAcentral lists this ribosomal RNA (2915 nucleotides) under Staphylococcus aureus. Its description in RNAcentral is "bacterial LSU rRNA". It matches the Rfam family "Bacterial large subunit ribosomal RNA". Lineage: Bacteria; Bacillati; Bacillota; Bacilli; Caryophanales; Staphylococcaceae. The record is from RNAcentral.